This 603-nucleotide ribosomal RNA is filed under the name uncultured bacterium. RNAcentral describes it as "bacterial SSU rRNA". It matches the Rfam family "Bacterial small subunit ribosomal RNA", at positions 8 to 639 of the family's 1533-position model. The record is from RNAcentral.
AGAGUUUGAUCCUGGCUCAGGACUAACGUUGGCGGCGUGCCUAACACAUGCAAGUCGAACGAGGUAGCAAUACCUAGUGGCAGACGGGUGAGUAACGCGCAGGUAAUGUGCCCUCCUGCGGGGGAUACCGUUCCGAAAGGGACGUUAAUACCGCAUAACAUGCUCCAGGGGCAUCUUUGGAGUAUCAAACUUCCGGGGUAGGGGGAGCAGCCUGCGUUCUAUCAGCUUGUUGGUGAGGUAAUGGCUCACCAAGGCUACGACGGAUAACUGGUCUGAGAGGAUGACCAGUCACACUGGGACUGAGACACGGCCCAGACUCCUACGGGAGGCAGCAGUGAGGAAUAUUGCGCAAUGGGCGAAAGCCUGACGCAGCGACGCCGCGUGGAGGAUGAAGGCCCUCGGGUUGUAAACUCCUGUCAGUGGGGAAGAGAACGGACGGUACCCACUGAGGAAGCUUCGGCUAACUACGUGCCAGCAGCCGCGGUAAGACGUAGGGAGCAGGCGUUGCCCGGAAUUACUGGGCGUAAAGAGCUCGUAGGCGGGAGCGUACGUCUGAUGGGAAAUCUCAGGGCUCAUCUCUGGGGCUUUUUCAGAUACGGCGCU